AAUUUGGCCUAGUGUUUAAUAUCUUAACAAUGUGGAGUAAUUAUAGUUGAUUAAUUUACCUCAGCACUUUCUGAGGAGGGCCUUGGAGGCAGGAAGGACUGCCAGGAGGGCAAGGCCCUUGUCGGCAUCGGGAAGUACAAGUGGGACUCACUACAGGACCUGUAUGAGGCUACGGGUGCGGACAGGAUAAAAUAUAUGUCAGGAGCUUGAGGGCGCAGACACCCCAUUAUCCUGGGAGUGCAAUGGCCGCCUUGAUUGGCUACAUUCAGUGCAGAGACCAGGAGGGGGUAGCUGCUGUGGCCAGGCCCGCCCCAGCCAGCACCACCCCUGCCAGCACCAUCCGGCCCAAGAGUGCGGCUACGUAAGUGUAGGGGCCUGACCCUGAUUGUUACAUGUUUUUUUAACGAACGCAUUCAUUUUGGGGUAAUUGCUUUUCUUUUAAUUAACUUAAGUUGUAUUGAUAUUUUAUUGUUUGGAUUGUUUAUUUUUGUAAGAUAAACAAAAUGUAUGGACUAGAAAAAAAUAAAAUAAAAUCACCUUUGGGGAACUGCCUGUUCAGAACUGGAAGCCACCAUGGACGGCUAGGUGUGGAGGUGGGUCCUUGUGUUUUUAGAACUGGAGGCCACCAUGGACGGCUGGCUACAUGUCAGGUGUGGAGGUGGGUCCUUGUAUUUCCCAGCAUUAUUUGUUUUUUGUGUGUGUUACAACUCUGUAAACCGUGUGUUUGACUAAUAAAAUGACAUAUUUACUUG
Molecule: non-coding RNA, 752 nt
Organism: Oncorhynchus mykiss (rainbow trout)
Lineage: Eukaryota; Metazoa; Chordata; Actinopteri; Salmoniformes; Salmonidae
Source: RefSeq, a predicted model, not a curated record